UUUGUUUGCGAAUCCGAGCAGGGUAGGGGCACUCUCUCGUCGCGGCGGGGCGCACGUCUCCGCUGAGCUGGCGGCGCGGCGCGGUGCGUUGCGGGGGAGGCCCCACUGCCCCCGCCCGGGUCGCAGCGCCGCCCCCGCCCGCUCUGUGCGCCAGGCGCUGCGCUGUCCGCGGGCUCGGUGGCCGCCGCGCACUUGGCUGGGGCGAGAGGCGAGAGGGUAGGCGGGCUGCUUGGUUGGCGUUGGCGCUCUGCAGUGCAGUGGAGUGUUGCCCAGCUCCCUAUAUGGUCGGGGAUUAGCUCGGUGCUGCUGAGGCAGAGCCAGGAGCCGGAGGAGGAGGAGGAGAAGGAGGAGAAGGAGGAGGAGAAAGAGCGCAGCAGCUGCGGGCGCACGCCGAGCGGCUGCCGGUGGAAGCAGAGGCGCCGGAGGUUGGGGCACCGCCGACGCCUCGGGAGCCAUGGCCGAAGGGGGAGAAGGAGGCGAGGACGAGAUCCAGUUUCUGCGGACUUUGGUGGAGCGGCUGGCACCGCGUCAGGCUUUGAGAGUGCCAAGGAGAAGAUGGUUUCUCCGCCUCCCCCCUCCCAUUGUUUUUCCCCUUGGACUGCAGCAUCCUUGGAAAAAGAAAGAAAAACCUCCAGGCCUCAGCUAGUUGUUUUUAAAAUGUCAUAGCCUUCUCUUUGCCAGCCCCCUCUCCACAAUAAAGUUAACUGAAACAGAACUCAGCAUGAGAGAGAUACUCGUUUCUAUUAGUUUCCAUUAAAAAUUGGUCAAGUAGAUGCCUCAUUUAGCCCUCCUCAUAGAAAGUUGUCCUCCUCCAUCUAAAUUUGCAGCUCUCAAGUGACAGAAGGCACUUGGGCUGAGAAUUGAGACUGCUCCUGUGGUCUUGGGCUCCAGCCUCGAGGGAGGCUAGGACAAAUCCCUGAAUUUGAGCUGCAGCAACAAUGUGUGCUCAUGUCGGUCCAGAAAACGGCGUAGUCCCGGGUUGGGAUGACAGUGAAUUUUGCCUCCACGGUAUAUAGAUUCCUGCUUGGUUCUGCCCUCAGCUGAGUCUGAUUACAUAACAGCGGCAUGUUGCCAAUGCCGUGCCUUUGAUCACUUUUCUCACGGAGGCAGGGGGGAGGAGGAGGACACCAGUGACUUCUUCAAGCACAGCGGCUUGGAACGACAGUGUGUGGUGAUGGAGGCAGUGCCAGAAUGCAGACCCAGUACCAGGCAUAUGUGGCUGGAAAGCAGGGCUGGGCUGUCCUGUAGAAUCAGGUUUGAUGGUUAAAAUGGCAAAAUGCACAAUGUCCCCCUACUCUGGAUCUCCCAACAUCACUUCCCACCUUCUUGGUCUCUUUUCCCUUGACUUUGGGAAGCUGAUCUUAUUAAGGAGCUGUAGCAGAAUAGCUGGACAUCCAAUAUCCCCUCCUUUCCAGGGAAAUGGCCCAAGUGGACGUAAAAGAAAGCCAGGUCCUUCUCACAGAAAUUGACUUGUGUUAGAAAGGUUACAUCUGCACUGGGGGUGGUGGGGUGGUGGUAGCUUCUACCUCGAGGCACUGAUUGUCCUGACCAGGGUUGUCCUGAGGGAUUGUGAGCCGUUGAGUUCCAGAGAAUGAGGUGAUGAUAACUGUGAAAUUGGAAAUAUUGGAAUGCAUUUUAGCCUGGUGUAGGAAGAGUGAGACCAGAGCAGGUGGGUAGUUGACUAAGGUGUGUCUGAUGUUGGCAUAAUUUUUUUUUAUGUGAAUAUGAUUGUCAAGCAGGACGAGGACACGUCAGUGAAAUGCAUUUUUUAAAACAGUUCUUUGUUUCCUUUCCAAUACUGAAUUAGAGGAAAUACAAAUAUAUUUCUGAGUUCCUUAGGGUCGAUCUGAGGGGGAAAAUGUUGAAAAAGAAAGGGUGAGAGGAAUUUAUCUGGAGAGUGAAAUACCCUAGUAAUUAUUUUUUAAGGAUUUGUAUUAUUAAAUAGAUUUUAUUAUGAGUAUCUGUGUUUAUUUGCCUCUGUUGCUUUUUUUGUGAUCACCUGUUUUCACUGCUUCCUGGGAAGGAUUAUUCAUUUCAUCAUUUGACUCUACCUUACAGAUUAAAGAAUGUUGAGUUUAGAAACAACUGGCUCCAUCAUUUUCUAAUUGACCUGCAUCCUCCUGCUUGAUUCUCCCUCAUCUCUUGUGUAGGCCCAGGAAUGUCUUCAGAAACCAGCAUUCUGGUUCAUUUCCUACAAUCCCACAUCCAUAUAAACCCUUCUUUAUUAGCUCUGUCUUUAAGCUACCCUUCUUACGAAAUUUAUCCAGUAGAGGUGGAAUGAUGUAAUAAAAAGAAUUAAACUGGAGGCAGGAAUUCUUGUUUCUGUCCCUAGCUCAGUGUGACCUUGAAUGAGUCCCUUAAGAAAAUGAAGGUUUUCCUCUCUGUCUGGAGGUAGAACCUGCUUUAAUUGCUUCACAGAAGAGUCACGAGUGGCAGUGGUCUUUCAACAGUACUUCAAAGGAGCGAAGAGGGUGUAUUUCAUUGGGUGUUAUUGCUGUUUCUAUUGCACGAGAAAAAUCAACCCUACUUGUGACUGGGUCUUGUUGAAAAGCACAUUUCCCUUCAUCUGACAUGCUGUCUGCCACAGGGCUUCCCCUUCAUCCCAGAGUUGUUAAAUGGGCUCCUGUGUUGGUCCACCUGCAGCAUAUCUGGGAAAUUACUUGACUAAAACCAACACCAGCUUCUCUCAAGCUAUUUGACCAAAAGACUUGAUUGAGAAGGCAAGUUACUUGGUGCUAGAACCUUCAAAAGGUACCCCCCCCCCCGCCCCCCGCCCAGGAUUCCAGCCACCAAACAGAACAUUCAGAGUUAUUUUUUGUCUUCCCAGAAAAUUACCAAAGCUUUGAUUUCUCGUUGGACCACCUUUCCUUAUUGAAUCCCUUUCUCACUGAAUAUCUUCCUUUCAAAGCUGUCCCUCUCAUUGCUUUUAUGAGCCCCUUCCCCAGAGCAUUGGGACCAGCUUUUCUCUAAAGCCAACCCUGCUUUUCCUCCUAGAGAUUUUGCUGCUUCAGUCACGUCUGUUUGGAGAGUCAGGACCUUUGAAAAGUUCCUUUUUGGCUGCUCCUGGAGGAAGCAGAUGCUUUUAUGGCAGGAUCCCAGCCAAUGCUGAGGCUGCAGGGCACCAAAUCUCCCCAGGGAGCCACGUCGGGUCCUUGGGCUGGCAUCCUCUCAGUCCUCUCCCUGUUUAAAAGCCAGUAGGGUAUUUUAGGGACAAAGACAUUUCCAGUCACUGCAUCUUCCUUUGCUUCAGUGAGUUUUGCCAUUAGAGCACCUCUUCAACUCAGAGAGGGAAUGAAAAGUGCUGGCGCCUUGGUCCUGAUCCUGCCACGGGGAUAGGCCUUGGGAGGUGCCAAGCUUGUUUUUUUCCCUCCUCUGUCAUUUCUGAUUCCUGAUUAUUAGAAAACAAAGUUCAGAUCAGCUCUGAGACCGAUGAUGCAGUGUUCAAAAAUACAAGAGCUGUGCUUCCUCUCCUCACAUGCACUGCUUCCCUUGGCUAGCUCAGAGCACAUUGCUGACUCCACAGGAAUGCUCAGGGCUGCUGCCCUUUAGGCUGGGCAUGGCCAUACAGGUAGCAGACACUGAGGCACGAGGCCCUGAUUUUCUCUUUGUUGGCUCUUCAUUU
This is a long non-coding RNA of Bubalus bubalis (water buffalo), 3622 nucleotides long. RefSeq lists it as uncharacterized. Lineage: Eukaryota; Metazoa; Chordata; Mammalia; Artiodactyla; Bovidae. The record is from RefSeq and is a predicted model, not a curated record. The transcript has 2 exons.